UGAACUCCAUGGUUCAGAUUUUGAAUUAUUUCAUGAUAUGAACUACCAUCUUUCUGAUUUUUUUGAGCAUUUCCUCUUUCUCUUUGUUUUUUUGUCCUAAUUUUUCUAUUAUUUUCUUCUGAAUAUGACAUCUAAAAUUAUGCUUCUUAAGGUAACUGGACCUGGUUUCUAGGAUUUUUUUUAGCUGUUUUAUGGUUUAUGAAUUCAGAAUGGUCUGAAUUAGCUUUUGAAGGUAUUUCCUUCAUGUUUCUGUCUGAAUAGUUAUGAACAAUGUCUAGGGGAGCUUCUGAAUUUUCCUGAACUCCAUGGUUCAGAUUUUGAAUUAUUUCAUGAUAUGAACUACCAUCUUUCUGAUUUUAGAUAUAGAAAUUAAAAAAUUUCAUAUUUCUAGAAAUGUGCUAAUGAUGGGGUUACUGGAUUAUGCUUUAUAGGGUUACUGGAUUCUAAUUUACAUCUACUGAAUUCUGUUUUCAGACCUAGAGAUUGAAUAAUCCUUGUGGUUUCCUCUUUCUCUUUGUUUUUUUGUCCUAAUUUUUCUAUUAUUUUCUUCUGAAUAUGACAUCUAAAAUUAUGCUUCAUAAGGUAACUGGACCUGGUUUCCAAUGAAUUUCAUUAGAUUUUUUUAGCUGUUUUAUGGUUUACGAAUUCAGAAUGGUCUGAAUUAGCUUUUGAAGGUAUUUCCUUCAUGUUUCUGUCUGGCUAGUUAGAACCAGUGUCCAGGGGAUUGAUAUUUCUGCUUAAAAUCCCUUGGAUUUUAUGUUUAGAUGUGUGAGUUUGUUCAUGACUUAAAAUAGCCUCUUUUUGAGCAUCAGAAUUUUCCUGAACUCCAUGGUUCAGAUUUUGAAUUAUUUCAUGAUAUGAACUACCAUCUUUCUGAUUUUUUUGAGCAUUUAUAUGUGGAAUUUCAUUAGAUUGCCUAUUAUUAUUGGUUUCCAAUGAAUCCUCAUACGUUUUGCUUUGUUCUAGGUUUUUUUUUGAAAAUUGAGUUUGGAUUGACUCAUUUCUUUUUUUAUUUUUUUAUUUUAAUCUUCCUUUAUAGUCUGAAGAUGCCAUUCUCCUCUCCUUAUUUUUAUCUCAUUAGUUAGUGCCAAAAAUCAAUUCUGUUUUCAGACCUAUAGAUUGAAUAAUCCUUGUGGUUUCCUCUUUCUUUUUGUUUUUUUGUCCUAAUUUUUCUAUUACUUUCUUCUGAAUAUCACAUCUAAAAUUAUGCUUCAUAAGGUAACUGGACCUGGUUUCUAGGAUUUUUUUUAGCUGUUUUAUGGUUUACGAAUUCAGAAUGGUCUGAAUUAGCUUUUGAAGGUAUUUCCUUCAUGUUUCUGUCUGGCUAGUUAGAACCCGUGUCCAGGGGAUUGAUAUUUCUGUUUAAAAUCCCUUGGAUUUUAUGUUUAGAUGUGUGAGUUUGUUCAUGACUUAAAAUAGCCUCUUUUUGAGCUAUUUUGGAAUUUAUAGAUUCAAAAUGGUCUGAAUUAAAAUUUGAAGGUAUUUCCUUCAUAUUCCUAUCUGAAUAGUUAUAAACAAUGUCUAGGGGAGCAUCUGAAUUUUCCUGAACUCCGUGGUUCAGAUUUUGAAUUAUUUCAUGAUAUGAACUACCAUCUUUCUGAUUUUUUUGAGCAUUUAUAUGUGGAAUUUCAUUAGAUUGCCUAUUUUUAUUGGUUUCCAAUGAAUCCUCAUACGUUUUGCUUUGUUCUAGGUUUUUUUUUGAAAAUUGAGUUUGGAUUGACUCAUUUCUUUUUUUAUUUUGGAAUUUAAAUCUUCCUUUAGAGUCUGAAGAUGCCAUUCUCCUCUCUUUAUUUUUAUCUCAUCAGUUAGUGCCAAAAAUCAAUUUCCUCAUUUUCACACCAAUGCAAUUAAACAAUUAUAACAGGCUAUCUUCAUAACGAAAUUCAAGAAAAGAUGAAUAAUCAAAUUAAUCAUAUAUUGUUCUUUAAUUUUCUGUGUUUCUAUUUUCAAGUACCAUCUUGCUGAAUAGGACUUCUUAAUUUUUCUCUAGAGUUGUAUGAAUGGUUUAAAUCAAUUAGGGUCACAUUGAACUUCUUUACUAGGACCUCUCAAUUUUUUUACGAUCAAGAUAUUAUCCUUUAAAUUUAUGUAGUAUUAUGCUUUAAAAAGUAGCUGUAAAUUUCUCAUAAUUUUAUUUGGGAUUGUAUGACUGGUUUAUAUCAAUUAGUGUGUUAUUUUCUUAAAAAAUAUCCAGCUGGUUUGAUGUUUCAUUCUCAGUGUCUUUAGUGUUUAGUGUUGAUUCUAUUUGUUGAAGAGUCUUGAUUUUGAGAACAUAAGUUUAGAAAAGGAUAUAUAGUGUUAUUAGAACAUAAUAUCGAGUCUCUUUAGAUAUAUAAGUUCCCAAUUCCUAAUAUUUUUAAAAUCUUUUAGAUUUUCGAUUGCUAAGACAUAUAAGUAAGUCUUAGAGUUCAAUAAAACUAAUG
This 2423-nucleotide long non-coding RNA is filed under the name Zostera marina. Its description in RNAcentral is "long non-coding RNA (ZMAR_LNC001667)". Lineage: Eukaryota; Viridiplantae; Streptophyta; Magnoliopsida; Alismatales; Zosteraceae. The record is from RNAcentral.